This 525-nucleotide ribosomal RNA is filed under the name uncultured bacterium. RNAcentral describes it as "partial 16S ribosomal RNA". It matches the Rfam family "Bacterial small subunit ribosomal RNA", at positions 355 to 871 of the family's 1533-position model. The record is from RNAcentral.
UAGGGAAUCUUCCACAAUGGACGCAAGUCUGAUGGAGCAACGCCGCGUGAGUGAAGAAGGUUUUCGGACCGUAAAGCUCUGUUGUUGGUGAAGAAGGAUAGAGGUAGUAACUGGCCUUUAUUUGACGGUAAUCAACCAGAAAGUCACGGCUAACUACGUGCCAGCAGCCGCGGUAAUACGUAGGUGGCAAGCGUUGUCCGGAUUUAUUGGGCGUAAAGCGAGCGCAGGCGGAAGAAUAAGUCUGAUGUGAAAGCCCUCGGCUUAACCGAGGAAUUGCAUCGGAAACUGUUUUUCUUGAGUGCAGAAGAGGAGAGUAGAGCUCCAUGUGUAGCGGUGGAAUGCGUAGAUAUAUGGAAGAAUACCAGUGGCGAAGGCGGCUCUCUGGUCUGCAACUGACGCUGAGGCUCGAAAGCAUGGGUAGCGAACAGGAUUAGAUACCCUGGUAGUCCAUGCCGUAAACGAUGAGUGCUAAGUGUUGGGAGGCUUCCGCCUCUCAGUGCUGCAGCUAACGCAUUAAGCACUCCG